RNAcentral lists this ribosomal RNA (655 nucleotides) under uncultured Glomus. Its description in RNAcentral is "SSU rRNA". It matches the Rfam family "Eukaryotic small subunit ribosomal RNA", at positions 357 to 1016 of the family's 1831-position model. Lineage: Eukaryota; Fungi; Glomeromycota; Glomeromycetes; Glomerales; Glomeraceae. The record is from RNAcentral.
GGGUAACGGGGUGUUAGGGCACGACACCGGAGAGGGAGCCUGAGAAACGGCUACCACAUCCAAGGAUGGCAGCAGGCGCGCAAAUUACCCAAUCCCGACACGGGGAGGUAGUGACAAUAAAUAACAAUACGGGGUUCUUUAGGAUCUCGUAAUUGGAAUGAGUACAAUUUAAAUCUCUUAACGAGGAACAAUUGGAGGGCAAGUCUGGUGCCAGCAGCCGCGGUAAUUCCAGCUCCAAUAGCGUAUAUUAAAGUUGUUGCAGUUAAAAAGCUGGUAGUUGAAUUUCGGGGUUAGUAGGUUGGUCAUGCCUCUGGUAUGUACUGGUCUCACUGAUUCCUCCUUCCUUAUGAACCGUAAUGCCAUUAAUUUGGUGUUGCGGGGAAUUUGGACUGUUACUUUGAAAAAAUUAGAGUGUUUAAAGCAAGCUAACGCUUGAAUACAUUAGCAUGGAAUAAUGAAAUAGGACGUUCGAUCUUAUUUUGUUGGUUUCUAGGAUUGACGUAAUGAUUAAUAGGGAUAGUUGGGGGCAUUAGUAUUCAAUUGUCAGAGGUGAAAUUCUUGGAUUUAUUGAAGACUAACUACUGCGAAAGCAUUUGCCAAGGAUGUUUUCAUUAAUCAAGAACGAAAGUUAGGGGAUCGAAGACGAUCAGAUACC